UCCUCGUUGGCUCAGUUGGUAGAGCGCCUCACUAGUAUCUGCCUGCUUAAUGACAAUACAUAAUGAGGAGGUCAGUCGUUCAAAUCGGCUACGAGGAA
Molecule: transfer RNA, 98 nt
Filed under: Pleurotus eryngii
Lineage: Eukaryota; Fungi; Basidiomycota; Agaricomycetes; Agaricales; Pleurotaceae
Rfam family: tRNA
About the family: Transfer RNA (tRNA) molecules are approximately 80 nucleotides in length.
Source: Rfam by way of RNAcentral